RNAcentral lists this non-coding RNA (237 nucleotides) under Pteridomonas danica. Lineage: Eukaryota; Dictyochophyceae; Pedinellales. The record is from RNAcentral.
AUUGAGGAAUGAAAUAAAAAUGAUAGAGUGUUAAAACAACCUUUUUCUUUGAACAAACUAGGUCAGUAACCUUUCCUUUUUUCUCUUCUUCUUUUUUUUUCUCUUUUUUUUUGGCUUUUUUUUUUUCUCGUUUUCAGGAUAAAGCCAUGAGAGAUAUAGAGAGAAAACACCCCUCAUAGACCAUAAAUUGUUUCUAUCGAUAAAUUUUAUUCAUUUUUCUGAGACUCUGAUGAAAAA